ACAGCUGAUCAGGUACAUCUCCAGACAUUAGAGUAACAGCUGAUCAGGUACAUCUCUAGACAUUAGAGUAACAGCUGAUCAGGUACAUCUCUAGACAUUAGAGUAACAGCUGAUCAGGUACAUCUCUAGACAUUAGAGUAACAGUUGAUCAGGUACAUCUCUAGACAUUAGAGUAACAGCUGAUCAGGUAC
Molecule: long non-coding RNA, 191 nt
Organism: Mytilus californianus (California mussel)
Lineage: Eukaryota; Metazoa; Mollusca; Bivalvia; Mytilida; Mytilidae
Exons: 3
Source: RefSeq, a predicted model, not a curated record